UACUUCACCACUGCAUUCCCUUUUUCUAUUUAGAUACACAAAUACACAUAUUUAGUUGUUUCCUUGUUUCUUUUUGCUGAACCCACGGGUUGUUAGAUAUAGCAACACUUUAUUUAGCCUUUUAACGUUCAGCACAGCAGUAUCUCCUAAGAGCAAGUACAUUCUCUACUUAACCACGGAUACAAUGACCAUACUCGGGAAACUUAACAUUGACCGAACAUUAUUAUCUCAUAUAUAAUCUAUACGCGAAAUUCGCCAAUCCUUCCGAUGAUGUUACUUGAAACAUUUCACACGUGUACAUUAACAUUUGGAACGUUUUUUGCCCCCUUCAUCCAGGAUGGAAUCAAGGAUCACAUGCUGAAUUCGGCAUCUUUUCCUUUGAAACAGCUCCUGAGCCUUCGGUUUGGCCUUUCCGGACAUUGACAUUGUUGAAGAGUCCAGGCCAGUUUUGCAGAACCGCUCUCAGUUGGGACGUGUUCCAUCGUUCCUUCGAGAUUCGACUCAGGAAUACGUGUUGCACGGUGUUGGAGGAAAUCAUCAAGAGGACAUAACUGCUGGUUGACCUAUGAAUUGGACCUGGGCCAUCAGAGGCUCCUCGUCUCCUUCCCUGUCUUUGGAAUCCUUGGAAUGUGCACUCCACUCGCCUUCCCUGCACUAGAAGAUGCCCCAAGGACAUAACCUUGAGAUAGUAAUGUGGUGUUGAGACCAUCUGGACAGUAUAUAUGGCUGUACCCAGUUAAGGCUUUUAUAUAAACUUUUAACAUUCUGGCGGGUGGAUGGGAACCUCUACUCAUCUAGUAGCUGCCCUAGAUAAACUUUGUAAGUUUCCUUGUUUAUUAAAACUGCCACCUACUAA
Felis catus (domestic cat) is the source of this 856-nucleotide long non-coding RNA. RefSeq lists it as uncharacterized. The transcript has 2 exons. NCBI's taxonomy places the organism in Eukaryota, Metazoa, Chordata, Mammalia, Carnivora, Felidae. The record is from RefSeq and is a predicted model, not a curated record.